UACGUAGGGUGCGAGCGUUGUCCGGAAUUAUUGGGCGUAAAGAGCUCGUAGGCGGUCUGUCGCGUCGGUCGUGAAAACUUGGGGCUUAACCCUGAGCUUGCGGUCGAUACGGGCAUGACUGGAGUUCGGUAGGGGAGACUGGAAUUCCUGGUGUAGCGGUGAAAUGCGCAGAUAUCAGGAGGAACACCGGUGGCGAAGGCGGGUCUCUGGGCCGAUAUUGACGCUGAGGAGCGAAAGCGUGGGGGAGCGAACAGG
RNAcentral lists this ribosomal RNA (255 nucleotides) under uncultured bacterium. Its description in RNAcentral is "partial 16S ribosomal RNA". It matches the Rfam family "Bacterial small subunit ribosomal RNA", at positions 524 to 776 of the family's 1533-position model. The record is from RNAcentral.